CCUACGGGAGGCAGCAGUGGGGAAUAUUGGACAAUGGGCGAAAGCCUGAUCCAGCAAUGCCGCGUGAGUGAUGAAGGCCUUAGGGUUGUAAAGCUCUUUUACCAGGGAUGAUAAUGACAGUACCUGGAGAAUAAGCUCCGGCUAACUCCGUGCCAGCAGCCGCGGUAAUACGGAGGGAGCUAGCGUUGUUCGGAAUUACUGGGCGUAAAGCGUACGUAGGCGGUUAUUCAAGUCAGAGGUGAAAGCCUGGAGCUCAACUCCAGAACUGCCUUUGAAACUAGAUAGCUAGAAUCUUGGAGAGGUGAGUGGAAUUCCGAGUGUAGAGGUGAAAUUCGUAGAUAUUCGGAAGAACACCAGUGGCGAAGGCGACUCACUGGACAAGUAUUGACGCUGAGGUACGAAAGCGUGGGGAGCAAACAGGAUUAGAUACCCUGGUAGUCCACGCCGUAAACGAUGAUAACUAGCUGUUCGGGCUCUACGAGCUUGAGUGGCGCAGCUAACGCAUUAAGUAUCCGCCUGGGGAGUACGGUCGCAAGNUUAAAACUCAAAGGAAUUGACGG
This 560-nucleotide ribosomal RNA is filed under the name uncultured bacterium. RNAcentral's name for it is "bacterial SSU rRNA". It matches the Rfam family "Bacterial small subunit ribosomal RNA", at positions 338 to 916 of the family's 1533-position model. The record is from RNAcentral.